AAAUAACACUUCUGCUCUCUCACAGCCCAACAGCCCAAGACAAAUAAGAUCCACACCUUUGCUUUCUCUCUGCUCUCUCUCAAAAGGAAAACGGUGCCCUAGGUUUCUCUCCCUGUAUUCGACAUCAAACUGAAGCCCCAAUCCUUCAAUCCUUUAGGUACUCGUAAUCUCUUGGUUCAAAUCUCUCUUCGGCCAUAUACCAGGAUUUGAAAGACUAAUUGGUAAGUUUGGGUUGAACUUGAGUCUUGAACAAGCUGAAGGCCCUUAUCGUGGAUUAUAAUUUUUACAAUUACAGCAUCCUAUGGUCCUACCAUCUUUUAGAGUGCUUACAUCACUUCAGACUGAUUUUUGGAUGGGCUCAUGCUACAAGACUUCAAGCUCCUUUUGUUUAAGAUGGUUUUAAGUAGUGUAUGUUCAGGUCUUUGAACCCUUUAUUUAGGAAUCUAUAGCUCAUUUUUGUCUAAGAUCUUGAAACAUUUUAUUUAAGAUACUAGCUUGUUUUGGUCCAAAUUAUUGGAGUUGAAAUUGUUUUAGAUGCUAAGACUUAUUUUUUUUAUGCGAUGGGCUUUAUUAUGUAUGUUGUAAACAAUACAUUUUUUGGUUGGUGUAAUUUAUGCAAUAUUAAGUAUUUAUUUGUUUGCAUAAUCGUGUUGAUGUGAUAAUUUUUUUUUUUUUUUUUGAAAUUAUUUCUUUUGUUUAUAAUGUUAAUAAUUUACAGGUUUGUCACAAAUUUUUAUCGUACCAUGAUAAAUAUGUGGUCUAUUUUUGGUAUUUGCCACAAUAUAUAUU
Molecule: long non-coding RNA, 789 nt
Organism: Cornus florida
Lineage: Eukaryota; Viridiplantae; Streptophyta; Magnoliopsida; Cornales; Cornaceae
Exons: 3
Source: RefSeq, a predicted model, not a curated record